Non-coding RNA from Myotis lucifugus (little brown bat), 76 nucleotides. Lineage: Eukaryota; Metazoa; Chordata; Mammalia; Chiroptera; Vespertilionidae. The record is from Rfam.
GAAACACCCUUAUGGAUCAGGACUCACUUCAGUGGGACUUUGGUGUUCACUGAGUCUGCCCCUUGAGUGUGUUGCU